GGAGACGUGGGUGAGUGGCUGAAACCAGCGGUUUGCUAAACCGUCGUGCUCUUAAGGGGGCACCCCGGGUUCGAAUCCCGGCGUCUCCG
Molecule: transfer RNA, 89 nt
Filed under: Novosphingobium panipatense
Lineage: Bacteria; Pseudomonadati; Pseudomonadota; Alphaproteobacteria; Sphingomonadales; Sphingomonadaceae
Also listed under: 2 other names
Description: tRNA_Ser_GCT
Rfam family: tRNA
About the family: Transfer RNA (tRNA) molecules are approximately 80 nucleotides in length.
Source: RNAcentral